RNAcentral lists this unclassified non-coding RNA (230 nucleotides) under Hevea brasiliensis (rubber tree). Lineage: Eukaryota; Viridiplantae; Streptophyta; Magnoliopsida; Malpighiales; Euphorbiaceae. The record is from RNAcentral.
GCCGUUAUCAUUAGAGUUUGCAAACUCAGCUUUGGCACAUAUUCCAGAAGGAUGAUGCAAGACUCCAACCAAAAGUUCAACAGCAAGGGCUGAUGCAAUAGGAGCCAGCCCAGGACGAGUAACUGUACAUUGUUGGUCCAGGGUACGGUUAGCCGUUGAAUCAAUUGGUGCAACCACAUCAUUGCAGAAGUAACAUCCCAAUCGCACUGACUCUUUUUGGUUCGAAAGGG